Molecule: long non-coding RNA, 365 nt
Organism: Nerophis ophidion (straightnose pipefish)
Lineage: Eukaryota; Metazoa; Chordata; Actinopteri; Syngnathiformes; Syngnathidae
Exons: 3
Source: RefSeq, a predicted model, not a curated record
GGUCAAUGGUGUAUUUGCAACAUGGUGAAGUCCAGGGAGUGGUCAAAGAAGUCAAGAGAGGAGGAUCGUGGGUAAACUGAAGCAGACUCCAGCUGGCUCUGAGUGACAGGCGGGGUACACCUUGGACUGAUAUAUUACCAGCCAAUCCCAGAGAAGAUAUCAGCUUUGCAGGAUGGAGUCUUGUCAUGGAUCAUUUUCGUCAAUGUUCACCUCAGAUUUGUAUUUGGAUUGAGAUCCAGAAUAUUUGCAGGCAAUGACUUUGACUUUAUGUAUCUUUCUUUAAGGAAAGUUUUUAAAGUUUUUGCACUUUGUCGAGAUGCAUUAUCAUCUUGAAAAUGAUAUCAUCUAACUUUUCUUUCCACUGA